Molecule: ribosomal RNA, 427 nt
Filed under: uncultured bacterium
Lineage: Bacteria
Description: partial 16S ribosomal RNA
Rfam family: Bacterial small subunit ribosomal RNA
Source: RNAcentral
UGGGGAAUAUUGCACAAUGGGCGCAAGCCUGAUGCAGCCAUGCCGCGUGCGUGAAGAAGGCCUUCGGGUUGUAAAGCACUUUCAGCGAGGAGGAAGGCAUAAAGGUUAAUAACCUUUGUGAUUGACGUUACUCGCAGAAGAAGCACCGGCUAACUCCGUGCCAGCAGCCGCGGUAAUACGGAGGGUGCAAGCGUUAAUCGGAAUUACUGGGCGUAAAGCGCACGCAGGCGGUUUGUUAAGUCAGAUGUGAAAUCCCCGCGCUUAACGUGGGAACUGCAUUUGAAACUGGCAAGCUAGAGUCUUGUAGAGGGGGGUAGAAUUCCAGGUGUAGCGGUGAAAUGCGUAGAGAUCUGGAGGAAUACCGGUGGCGAAGGCGGCCCCCUGGACAAAGACUGACGCUCAGGUGCGAAAGCGUGGGGAGCAAACA